Molecule: ribosomal RNA, 433 nt
Filed under: uncultured bacterium
Lineage: Bacteria
Description: partial 16S ribosomal RNA
Rfam family: Bacterial small subunit ribosomal RNA
Source: RNAcentral
AACGAACGCUGGCGGCAUGCCUAACACAUGCAAGUCGAACGAGACCUUCGGGUCUAGUGGCGCACGGGUGCGUAACGCGUGGGAACCUGCCCUUAGGUUCGGAAUAACUCCCCGAAAGGGGUGCUAAUACCGGAUAAUGUCUUCGGACCAAAGAUUUAUCGCCUUUGGAUGGGCCCGCGUUGGAUUAUCUAGUUGGUAGGGUAAAAGCCUACCAAGGCGACGAUCCAUAGCUGGUCUGAGAGGAUGAUCAGCCACACUGGGACUGAGACACGGCCCAGACUCCUACGGGAGGCAGCAGUGGGGAAUAUUAGACAAUGGGCGAAAGCCUGAUCCAGCAAUGCCGCGUGAGUGAUGAAGGCCUUAGGGUUGUAAAGCUAUUUUACCCGGGAUGAUAAUGACAGUACCGGGAGAAUAAGCUCCGGCUAACUCCGUG